GUGCUUACUUCAUUAGCACACAUACUAAAAUUAGAUACAGAGAUUAGCAUGUUCCCUGCACAAGGAUGACAUGCAAAUUUUGAAGUGUUCUAUACAUUA
Peromyscus maniculatus bairdii (prairie deer mouse) is the source of this 99-nucleotide small nuclear RNA. The record is from Ensembl. Lineage: Eukaryota; Metazoa; Chordata; Mammalia; Rodentia; Cricetidae.